This 224-nucleotide long non-coding RNA is filed under the name Elaeis guineensis (African oil palm). RNAcentral describes it as "long non-coding RNA (EGUI_LNC044285)". Lineage: Eukaryota; Viridiplantae; Streptophyta; Magnoliopsida; Arecales; Arecaceae. The record is from RNAcentral.
GUGUCAGAAUUGGGAGUUGAAAAUGUCGAGAGUUGUUUGUUAUCAUUAUUUGAGGAUGCCGUAGCCGUCAGAAAAGAGGACACAAACUACCAAACAAUCAGACAGUGAAAGAGAGGGGGGCAGCCAGAGAAAUCACGAGUGAUGUACCGCUUUCAUGAUUAGUAAAUAGCCAGAUAACUUUUAUACGGCAUAGGAAAGAUACCUACACUGUAUAGAAGAAGAAA